GAUGAACGCUGGCGGCGUGCCUAACACAUGCAAGUCGAACGGGAUGCGUAUCGGAAAGCUUCGGCCGGAAGAUACGUUAUCUAGUGGCGGACGGGUGAGUAACACGUGGGUAACCUGCCUUAUGGAGGGGGAUAACAGAGAGAAAUCACUGCUAAUACCGCAUAAGCACACAGUACCGCAUGGUACAGGGUGAAAAGAUUUAUCACCAUAAGAUGGACCCGCGUCUGAUUAGCCAGUUGGCAGGGUAAAAGCCUACCAAAGCAACGAUCAGUAGCCGAUCUGAGAGGAUGACCGGCCACAUUGGGACUGAGACACGGCCCAAACUCCUACGGGAGGCAGCAGUGGGGAAUAUUGCACAAUGGGGGGAAACCCUGAUGCAAGCGGACGCCCGCGUGAGUG
This 399-nucleotide ribosomal RNA is filed under the name Oribacterium sinus. Its description in RNAcentral is "bacterial SSU rRNA". It matches the Rfam family "Bacterial small subunit ribosomal RNA", at positions 28 to 407 of the family's 1533-position model. The record is from RNAcentral. Lineage: Bacteria; Bacillati; Bacillota; Clostridia; Lachnospirales; Lachnospiraceae.